Small nucleolar RNA from Raphanus sativus (radish), 168 nucleotides. RefSeq annotates it as small nucleolar RNA snoR143. The record is from RefSeq and is a predicted model, not a curated record. The transcript has a single exon. Lineage: Eukaryota; Viridiplantae; Streptophyta; Magnoliopsida; Brassicales; Brassicaceae.
AUGCACUAUGCUUCGAAGGCUUUGUCAAAUUGAAUGGCAUAGUCUUGGAGCAAACAGUGCAUAAAUUGAGAGCUGUUAGAUCAGCAAGCGGCCAGACAACCGUCGGGAUAGAUCCACAGGUGAAACAGAUGUUUCUCUGUUUUCAUCUACUAAAUCUAUCUUACACUA